This 253-nucleotide ribosomal RNA is filed under the name uncultured bacterium. RNAcentral's name for it is "partial 16S ribosomal RNA". It matches the Rfam family "Bacterial small subunit ribosomal RNA", at positions 524 to 776 of the family's 1533-position model. The record is from RNAcentral.
UACGAAGGGGGCUAGCGUUGUUCGGAAUCACUGGGCGUAAAGGGCGCGUAGGCGGCCGAUCAAGUCGGGGGUGAAAGCCUGUGGCUCAACCACAGAAUUGCCUUCGAUACUGUUUGGCUUGAGACCGGAAGAGGUUAGUGGAACUGCGAGUGUAGAGGUGAAAUUCGUAGAUAUUCGCAAGAACACCGGUGGCGAAGGCGGGUCUCUGGGCAGUAACUGACGCUGAGGAGCGAAAGCGUGGGGAGCGAACAGG